This 483-nucleotide ribosomal RNA is filed under the name uncultured bacterium. RNAcentral's name for it is "partial 16S ribosomal RNA". It matches the Rfam family "Bacterial small subunit ribosomal RNA", at positions 29 to 506 of the family's 1533-position model. The record is from RNAcentral.
AGUGAACGCUGGCGGCAGGCCUAACACAUGCAAGUCGAGCGGCAGCGCGGGGGCAACCCUGGCGGCGAGCGGCGGACGGGUGAGGAAUUCGUCGGAAUCUGCCUUUUUGUGGGGGAUAACGUAGGGAAACUUACGCUAAUACCGCAUACGUCCUACGGGAGAAAGUGGGGGACCGCAAGGCCUCACGCAGAAAGAUGAGCCGACGACCGAUUAGCUAGUUGGUGGGGUAAAGGCCCACCAAGGCGACGAUCGGUAGCUGGUCUGAGAGGAUGAUCAGCCACACUGGGACUGAGACACGGCCCAGACUCCUACGGGAGGCAGCAGUGGGGAAUAUUGGACAAUGGGCGCAAGCCUGAUCCAGCCAUGCCGCGUGUGUGAAGAAGGCCUUCGGGUUGUAACGCACUUUUGUCCGGAAAGAAAUCCCUGGAGCUAAUACCUUCGGGGGAUGACGGUACCGGAAGAAUAAGCACCGGCUAACUUCGU